RNAcentral lists this long non-coding RNA (33563 nucleotides) under Pelobates cultripes (western spadefoot toad). The record is from RNAcentral. Lineage: Eukaryota; Metazoa; Chordata; Amphibia; Anura; Pelobatidae.
GGAGAGAUUGAGAUCCAUCACACACACAUAAUCACACACAAUGCAACCCUUGCACACAGAAAAACACACAAUGCAUUACACACACAGAAACACAUACACAAGCAAUGCAACCCUUACACAUAAUGCAUCCCUUACACACACAGAAACACACAAUGCAUUCAUUACACACACUCAAUGCACCCCUUACACACAUUCAAUGCAUCCCAUACAUACACAGAAACACACCUUGCAGUCCUUACACAUACAAACACAAUUUCACACAAUGCAUUCCUUAUACACAUAUCAGGACAUCCCCUACACACUCCACCCCCUGUGAACAAACUCAUUGGUGGAACAUGAAGGUGGACCCUGGGACCCAGACCUUGAUCUGUGUAAAGGACCCCCAAAAAAUGGAGCUGCUUCCAGUUCUCCCAGAACGUUGAUUUUUGUGACCACAGUUACAAACCGCCUCCAGAGAGCCUGUUCUGCACCAGACCAGUGGAGCCAGACUGCAGCUAGAGCCCAUCAUCAUCCUCAUCUGGUUGUAAGUAGGCAAUCUAGUAUAUUAUUCAUGGCACUAAUCUCUAAUUUACCUCACAUUUAAGAAACACUAUAGUCCCCAGAACCACUGCAGCUUAAUGUAGUGGUUCUGGUGUCUAUAGCCUGUCCCUGCAGGCCUUUUAAUGUAAACACGGCGGCACUGCAGCACUGACUGCAGUACUGGCGUUAGUUAACAUGGCAGAUCAUAUGGGUGGGGCAUUGCGAUGUCCCGGGGGAGGGGGGAGGCGGCAAACUUUACUUUUGCCUAGGGCGGCAAAAAUCCUUGCACCGGCCCUGCAUACAUACUAGCAAUGGGCAGUGGUGAUAAGCUAAGAGUCAGUAAAGGCAGAUUGUACUCUUAGUCUAUAACUGAUGUUCAUCACUGCCUGGGCCAGUAGCCAAAGCAUCCAUAUGCAUCCACAUGCAUUGUUAUUUUGUUUAACAUUAAACAGAUGAAGUUAAUCUAUUCUCUCCCAUUCACUACUUUUCCUUGCUUUUGUUACUCUUCAUAGGGAGAUACAUUCAUGAAUUUGGCUGGUACUUGACCCAAGUCUGGUUCCUCGGCUUAAAUCACUGUUGCCUAAAUGGAAUUCUGUAGGACAGAAUUUAUUUGUUACUAGACCCCAGCUUUCCUGAAACCACAAUAAAUGCUGUUGAAGCUAAUGGUAAAACAUAUGGGCUAGUCUCUAUUUGUUUCCUUUAUGCUAUGGACAUUUCCCCAGCUAUUGCACUUUAAGGCUACCAGUGUUCAUAUCAGAUAGGCAGGUCACCUGAUGUCUGAAGUGCAACUUCAGUUUCAUGCAACUAGGAUUAGGAAAACGUUCUUGGAAUUUUGCCAUGUGUUAGUCAAGAGUCAUGCCAAAUUACAGAUAAAAAUAAAAACAGAAGUUAUAGGCGCUCUCUAUAGUACAACAAAAUAGGCAAGGGCUGCUGUAUACAGUACAAGGAUUCCCAGGACCUUGUGUGAUAAUAGAACAAAAGAAUAUGGCAUAUACUGCCCAUAAAAUUUUUUACGUACAUAGAACCGCAGGAAAUAUGGUAUAACCCUCAGGAUAAUACAAAAAGAAAAAGAAAAACAAUAAUGGUACAGUACAAUUGGAUAAAGUGCAAAAUAGUAGGUAGGUGACUGCAGUAGAACCACUCACAUUUGGUGGAGCUAUAUUAGAGCUGUGCUAUAUUGCGCGUGGACAGUAUGAUCCCCGUCUAAGGAUAUAGGGUGGUAUAGGUGGUACUGGUCCUCCAGAAGCAAAUGUAGGUAUUGAUGGUACAUAUAGGAGUAGAAGAGCAAAACACAAACUCUGAUAGUGUAGUAAGUACUAUAAACUCAAACAAAGAAAAAAAGUAAUGUACUUACAAUAUAUAGAGCAAGGCCUGCUCUGGUUAUCACAGCAUAGGUGGUAUAAUCCCCACCUAGGGAUUUGUAGGUAUCAGGUAGCGAGCAGGAUACAAAGCAGGAUACUGGAAAUGACUAUUUAUUGAAAGAAGUAUAAAAAAAUAUAUAUAAAACAUAAGUACAUAUAAAAUGUUCAAGAGGUAAGUCCCACUUGACGUGUUUCGCCUCUCCAGAGGAUUUAUCAAAAGUGUCACAGAUAAUCACAGAUAAAUACAUGUCCAGGUUUAUUUUUUAUAAAAUAAAAGGGCAUUUUAGUUCUAACAUUACCCUUAAAGCAAUUUAAUUGCAGUGUUAAUAAUAUAAAUGUUGACAUGUCAGCAACUGCCAAUGAUCCUCUGAUGCUGACACAUAGAUUACAAUUCUACUGUUUGUAUUUCUUUGGCAGCAUUCCUAACGUUUAGUGCCUCAUAUUCAACUACCAGGCUUAAGCAACCACAAUCCUUCCAAAGAACAGUUAUCGACACACUAACAGGCCCAUCAGCCAGGGCCGGACUGGGGAUACAAAGCAGCCCUGGAAAAUAAUCAAAGCCAGCCCCAUAAGUCACUGCGCCAUGUAUUGUCAUAUGUAAUGGGGUAGGGGGCUAUGAGGUGGGUAGAGGGGCUGUAUAGUGGGUAGGGGGGCUGUGAGGUGGGUAAGAGGGCUGUGAGUUGGGUAGGGGGGCUGUGAGAUGGGUAGGGGGCUGUAUAGUGGGUAGGAGGCUGUAUAGAAUAGGGGGCUGUGUAUAGGGUGGGGGCUGCAUGUGUAUAGUGGGUGGGGGGCUGUGAGGUGGGUAGGGGGCUGUGGGAGGUUGGUGGGGCUGUAUAGUGGGUAGGGCUGUAUAAAAGUGAGUGGGGGGCCUUGUAUAGUGAGUUGGGGGGGCUAUGAGAUUGGGUGGAGGCUAUAUGAGUGGGUGGGGGUUGUACAGUGGGUGGGGGCUGUAUAGUGGGUGGGGGCUGUAUAUGGUGGUGGGGGCUGUAUAGUGGGUAGAGAGGGGCUGUAUAGUGGGUGGGGGGCUGUGGUGGGUGGGAUGGCUGUGGAGUUGGGUGGGGGCUGUGAGGGUGGGUGGGGGCUGUAUAGUGGGUGGGGGGGCUGGCUGGGGUGGGUGGGGCUGUAUAGAGGGGUGGGGAGCUGAGGAGGUGGGUAGGAGGGGCUGUGGGUUGGGUGGGGGCUAUGAGGUGGGUAGGGGGCUGUAUAGUGAGUAGGGGGUCUAUGAGGUGGGUACAGGGGCUGUAUAGUGGGUAGGGGGGCUGUGAGGUGGGUAGGGGCUGUAUAGUGGGUAGGGGGGCUGAAUAGUGGAUAGGGGACUGUGAUGUGGGUAUGGGGGCUGUAUAGUGGGUAAGGGGACUUUCUGUGAGGUGGGGGGCUGUAUGGUGGGCGAGGGGGCCUGAAUGGUGGUAGGGGGCAGUAAAAAGUUAAAUACCUUUUAGUUUGCUCUUGGACCGGUGGGCACAUUUCCAACAACGUGUGUGGGCGGAGCUUUGUGCAGGAGGCGGAGCUUCCAUUUGAAGGCGGGGCAUGCGGCCGAAAUUGUUCUAGACUGUGCACAGAGACUGACAGGUCUCCCUGUGGCUGCUGGCAGCCACACCAGCCCCCAGCUCCUUCCUCCCCUUAGGCUGACAGCCUGGCACAGUCUGAAGGGAGGAUUAAUCAGCUUAAUGAAGUGGUCUGGGUGUCUGGUCCAGCUAGGAUUAACCCAUUCUUUUAUAAACAUAGCAGUUUCAGAGAAACUGCUAUGUUUAUGACUGGGUUAAGCCUUCCCCCAAAGCCUCUAGCGGCUGUCUCACUGACAGCCGCUAGAGGCGCUUGCGUGCUUCUCACUGUGAUUAUCACAGUGAGAGCACGCCAGCGUCCAUAGGAAAGCAUUGUGAAUGUUUUCCUAUGCGACCUGCUGAAAGCGCGCGCAGCUCUUGCUGCGCGUGCGCAUUCAGCCGAUGGGGAGGAACGGAGGAGGAUCGGAGGAGGAGAGCUCCCCGCCCAGCGCUUGAAAAAGGUACGUUUUUACCCCUUUCCAUAGCCGGGCGGGAGGGGGUCCCUGAGGGUGGGGGCACCCUCAGGGCACUAUAGUGCCAGGAAAACGAGUAUGUUUUCCUGGCACUAUAGUGGUCCUUUAACACUACAAACCAACUGUAAAACAAACAAAUAUUGUAAAUACAAUACAAUACAAAUAUCAUGUAUUUAUUUUACAGUAUAGAGAGAGGUGCAUUUUAUGGCCAUUUGAUUUUCAGCUCAAGUGAGAAGAAGUAUCUGACAGAGGGAAAAAGAGUAAGAACUGCAAAUAAUCUAUAUUAAUAUAUUUACACAUUAUAUAUAUAUAUAUAUAUAUAUAUAUAUAUAUAUAUAUAUAUAUAUAUAUAUAACUCAUAGACAUAGAUUUCUACUGAUCCUCCUAUUUUUUUUUUUUUUUUUACUUUUUUGGUCGCUUCUGUGACUAAAGUCAACAUUUAGUGGCUGUCUCCUAACCAUCAAUCACCCUUUUUUCCCUCAAUCACUUUUUUAUUUGGUUACCCUGGACAGAAUUCUAAAUCGUGGAUGAAACUAAACCAUUUCAUUUAUUGUCCGUUUCAUUUAUUCUGUGAUUUGGUCAUCUGGUGAUUUGAAAUUACACAACUCUCAAUUUGGAUAAAUUGCAAUGCAAUCGAAAGGAAAUGCACAAGUCUAACACACACCUUUAAGAUAUAAACACACAACAAUGUCCAUAUGGAACAUAACAUGUUAAUACCACACCUGUCACUUCUUAGCACUUUGCUGUUAAUAACCUUUACGUUUUGAUGUAAUCAAAUAUACUACCAAGUUAUUCAUCUAGAAGGUGUGGUGUAACCUAUAAUGACCCCAUCUGCUGCAUUAACUAGAGCCAGUGAUAUAUACGCUCUAUUCUAUGUGAGUUGCUCAUUGGAAGUGAAAUUCCCAAAGUAAAAUUUCAUAGAUUUGCACUAUUUUUGUUUUUGUUUCUUUUUUUAUUCCAUAUUCCAUAUGUGGGUGGCUCCUGUGGCAUUUAAAUAAUUUAAAAAGGUAAUGAGCAGGCGCUCAUUGCUGUGCAUAGCUCUACUGUCCAUCUGGUGCCUCUAACUGUGGCCCCAGCUAACAGAGGGGAACCCCAAAUAACAAAAUAUAACUAGGGCUCCUUGAUGCUAGCAGGAAUUUAACCCAUGCUGAUACCUUUACUGCAUGAUGGUCUACGCCGUCACUAGGCGUCAAAGUCUUGCAUUGCAUGACGGCAUAGAACUUAAACAUGAACGGCUGUAGCGGUACUUACCCUUUCCAGGGGCCAGCCGGGGUCCUCUGUUCGAGCCGCGCGCGGUCCGGCUGCUGCACGAGCCGCACGCGGCUCAGCCGACCGCUGUGACUAGUAGCGGUCACGUGUUCCACCUACUCUAAGAGCGCGCCGCGGGUAUCGGGCGCGCUCUUAAAGGGACAGUGGGUGCCUAAAUUGGAAAAGGCAUCCCAUUGGUCCCUGUGAUGCCACACUCCCCAUACACUUACCUUUUGGGGGCGUGGAUGUGACAGGGACCAAUCAAAUUAGAUGUUUAGGUAUUUAUACUCACCUUCUUUCCUUUGUUCCUUGCCCUAUCGUGGUUUCUGUAUCAGUUCCCUUUAGCGCUUGUUGUGUGCAGUUGUGUUUCUCCGUAUUGACCUUGGCUUUGUUUCUGACUACGUUUUCUCUUUAUCCUUAUCUGUUCUGGUUGUCGGCUUGUUGUUUACUGUGUACCAGACCCGGCUUGUCCUAGUUUACGCUGUCUCUCUGUGCCCUUGAUUUCGGAUCGUUCCUGACUCUGUCUCCUCUCAUAUACGUCGAGUCCGGCCAUUCUAAGGUCCGGUAGACGUAUCUCUCCUCUGUGUUGUCUUUUGUUUUGCUGAAUCCUGCGUGUUGGGGUAUAUUCUCGUUACAUUACGAUAGGGCCAUGGACCCCGCAGAUUUGGCUCAGCAAAUGGCUUCUCACGAGGCAAGGUUUGUAGAGCAGGAUCACCGCAUGGAUCAGAUAGCACAGGCUCUCCAGACGCUCUUGUCUAGAACCAUUCCUGCAACCGCACCGAACCCUCCUACACCUCAUCCUCCCGAAGUAUCCAAUUCAACCAAUGCUUCGCCCCAUUUAACACCUCCUCCUAGGUAUGGAGGGGAAGCCAAGACAUGCACAGGUUUUAUUAAUCAAAUAGAAUUCCACCUUGAGAUGUAUCCUCAUUCCUUUCCCACUGAUAGGUCUAAAGUGGGGUUUUUGAUGCAUCAACUUACUGACAAAGCACUGGAGUGGGCAAAUCCUAUUUGGGAGGCCAAUGGACCUAUGGUUCAUGAUUUCAAUAGUUUUCUUGCGGCUUUUCGUAGAACUUUUGACACAACAAAGAGGUCAAAGAAUGCCGCAAGAGCAUUAAUAAGGAUUAAACAGGGGUCUAGGUCUGUGGCGGAUUAUGCUAUUCAGUUUCGUACCCUUGCUUCACAGGUAGAUUGGACCAAUAAUGGGUUAACUACUGCGUUCAUGGAAGGUUUAUCUGACACUAUAUUAGAUGAGGUAGCAGCAAGGGAGCUUCCUAUUCCAUUAGAGGAUCUUAUUGACUACCUCAUUGAUAUAGAUAAUAGAAUUCGCGACAGGCUCUAUACCAAAAACAAGAAUAGGCGUCUGGUCACAUCUAUUAACCCUAGAGUUGAUAAACCUGAGAGUGUUAAAGUACCCGAGGAGGAACCCAUGCAAUUAGGGGUUGCCAAACUCUCGGAUACUGAAAAACUACUUAGAAGAAGGAAUGGACUCUGCCUAUACUGUGGUAGGCGAGACCAUGUGGUAAGGGAAUGUCCUUUGCAUCCGGAAAACUCUCGCACCUAAGACCUUAUAGGGGACUGGCCUUGGGUGUGAUCUCUAAGUCUCCUAAAUUGCCUCCUAAUCGUUUGCUUCUCCCUGUUUCCCUUCAUAUGGGGGUGAGUUGUAUAGCAGAAUGCAUAUUAGCCUUGGUNNNNNNNNNNNNNNNNNNNNNNNNNNNNNNNNNNNNNNNNNNNNNNNNNNNNNNNNNNNNNNNNNNNNNNNNNNNNNNNNNNNNNNNNNNNNNNNNNNNNUGGCGGCCGCGGAGGGAGCUGCGCGAGCUGCGCUGGCUCUGCUCCCCAGCACGCAGCUGAAUGAGACCGGCGCCGAAUAUGACGUCAUAUUCCGGCGCCAUUCUCAUUCAGCAGCGCGCGAGGGCGGGAGGGCACUAACACAGGAAGCACCUCUAGUGACCGUCUGAGUGACUGUCACUAGCAGUGUCACUUUGAAGCAAUGUAAACACUGCCUUUUGACUGAAAAGUCAGUGUUUACGUUGAAAAGCCUGUAGGGACAUGCUAUAGACACCAGUACCACCACAUUAAGCUGUGUGUGUGCGUCUGCUAGUGAGUGAGCUUGCUUGCAUGCGUGUGCCUGCUAGUGAGUGAACUUGUGUUUUUAUGUCAAUGAGCUGAUGUAUAUCAGUAAGAUUGUUUGUCUAUGAGGCUGUGUAUCAAUGAACUUGUGUGUGUCACUGAAAUGUCAGUGAAAUUGCCUGUGUCUGCAUGUGCGUAUGCUCACUGUAUAAUUAAACGUUUUACCCUGAAAGGACCAAUAUUUAUAUUAGAAAAAGCAAAAUAUAUAUAUAUAUAUAUAUAUAUAUAUAUAUAUAUUACUCAAUCAUCUGUCCUGGCAAGACAUAGCCUUACAUAUUACACGCGACAAUAUAUGGCGCAGUGACUUAUGGGGCUGGCACAAAUUUUUUUUCCAGGGCUGCUUUGUAUCCCCAGUCCGGCCCUGCUUUUGGAUGAUUAUGUUUGCUCUGUGUUACCUAAACAUAUUCCAUAUUCAAGGUCAAUACAAAGAUCUCUGCAUAAACGGAAAUGUAGAGAUACGUGUACUAAAAAUAUGCAAAGCACCAGAUAUUAAAUAAUUGCUACAGCUUCGUAGUUAGAAGUAUUUAAUUAAUCUGUUGAGUAUAAGUUAUCACAAGUGCUCAAACUAAGUGUUUUAAAUAACCACAAAGUGCAAAAGUGCAUAUUAUUUAUCAAAAAAUGAAUUAAUUAUAAUACAGACAUUGUUUUACUUUCCUAUGAUAUUUGGUUCCAUGUAAAAAAUAAUUUUGGUAUAUUUUAAAUGAAUAUUAAUAAUGAAUAUUAAGGUUACCACCUUAACAUAGAUAGAUGCAAUUUAUCCGUUAUGUUUCACAUAUAUAAGAACAAUACUUUUCUUGAUGGUUUUGUUGAUAUUACCUUAUAUGAUAACUGGUAAUAACUAUAUAAUAUGGACUGUUAAAUGAGCUCCACCAAUGUUUUUCAAGUUCUGUACACAAAUAAAUGGAAAAAAAGCUAAACAAUUUGACCUAUCCUCUUUCGUCUGUUGUUUUUUUUAAAUUGUUUUGCUCCUUUGUGUUUGAUUUUUCUUUCUUAUGUCCUCUCUUACACAGUGUGAGAUAUCAUCAGGUUCAAGAAAAACCUUUAUAAGGUUGAAACAUUGCCAUUAUAUACAUGUAUAUAUAUAUAUAUAUAUAUAUAUAUAUAUAUAUAUAUAUAUAAAGGAACAAUUGUUGUGUGCUGGACCAUUUUUGGAUCACUCAGAGUUAACAUUGAUGGUCGUACAGAACACAACAUUUGAAAUACAGCAUGACACCAUAAACAGGUCAGAGGUAGGUAAAUAACUAUUGACUUAUUAUUCUAUAGGUGCAACUGUCAGGGUGGUGAUAUGUUUUAUGUUUUGGAUGUGGGCCAUUAUUUAGUUUUAGCUUCUUAUUGUACUGUUUGAGCUCCAAGACAGCUUUGACAGUGGUGCUCGCUCACACGUAUGUAUUUAGCUAAGAUAUAUCUAACGUCUAACACGGCAUUACCUGUCUAUAAAAUUUAACAGUGUUUCAUUGAAUAUCUCUUUUCUAUAUUUCCUACCAAAAGAAUAUUCAAUAAAUACAUUGAUGGUGACAAUUAAUAACGAAUGAUAAAAGAAACGAGGUCAGCUACGUGUUACCCAAAUGUGUUGUAACCUUAAAACAAUCUAAAUAAACUUAAAGAAUAUUUAUCAAGAUAUCAAGAGAUUUUCCAAGCUUGUUAUGAAAUAUAAUGUUUAUGCCAAAAAGUGACUAAUUGGCUACUAAAAAUGACUGGACAUACCCCAUUUGCAAUACCUUGAGUUGUCUACUUUUGCAAAUGGUAUGCCAUCAUGGGGGUAAUUCUCGUUCCUGGGCUACCAUACGGUCUCAAAGGCAACGUAACCAAUCUGGCAAAAUUCAAUGUGAAAAAAAUGAAAUGCAAGCCUUAUAUUUGACUCUCUAACUUUCCAAAACACCAUAAAACCUGUACAUAGGGGGUACUGUAAUACUUGGGAAACUUCACUGAACACAAACAUAAGUGUUUCAAAACAGUAAAACAUAUUACAACAAUAAUAUCGUCAGUAAAAGUGCCGUUCAUGUGUGAAAAAUGCAAAAAACUUCACUUUUACUAAAUAUAUCAUCAUUGUAAUACAAGUUACCAUUUUGAAACACUAAUAUUUGUGUUCAGCAAAGUCUCCCGAGUAAAACAGUAUUUUUAUAUAUAGAUAGAUAUAUACAGAAUGUAAUUCUAAGUGUAUUUUGUUACCAAUAUAUAUAUAUUAAUAACAAAAUACAGUUAGAAUGAGAUUACAAUAUUUUAUUUAUUUAUUUUAUUAUUUUAUUUAUUUAUUAUUGUAAUUAUACGUGUAUAUAUAAAUAUAAAAUAGAUAUAGAUGUCUUAUAUAUAUAAUAUAUAUAUCUUGUAUAUAUGUAACGUCAUUCUAAGUGUAUUUUAAUACUAAUAUAUGUACUUAUAUUAACAUUAAAAUACACUACAUAUAAUGUUAAAUAUAUAUAAGAUGUAUAUAUAUUAUAUAUAUAAUAUAUAUAUAAUAUAUAUAUAUAUAUAUAUAUAUAUAUAUAUAUAAAUAUAAAUACUUGUAAUUUCUUUUUUUUUUCUGUGCAGAGGUGGUUACAGGCAUGUGUCAAGUGCCACAACAGCACUCAGAAAUUGAGCAUCAGGUUCAUCACAGUGACAUUGCAAAGAAGUGCACAUUUUUGUUUAUAAGUUGGAAUUAGCAAGGAAUAACAGUAGCAUUAAUAAAGUUAGUAACCGUUUGGCAUAUAACAUUAAAACAUUGGAAGAGUAACAUUCUCAUGGCACAUAGCUGUAGCGCAGUGGGAGUGUAGCUGGUGUGGCUGUGGGGGGGCACUAGUUGUCGGUAUGAGCAUAGGUAGCCUAGAGUUUGGGCCUGGAGCGUAAUGUUCUGCCGUGUAUGGGCUUGCGCUGGGGUCGUGCUAUGCUGGUGGAAGCUGUGCUGUGUUGCGUGGUAGGUGGUCUUUGCUUGGUGUGAGGUCGUAGCGCCUGUGCUGUAGAGCCGGUUCUUGUAUGAUAGUGAUGUGGUACGCUGGUGGCCCAUGUGGUCUGUCCACCUGGUACCGAGCUACAGUGGGUGGUUUAGUGCCCCCGUCUGCUGCUGUCUAAGUGGCCCCUAUUACCGCGGAGGGGGGGGACUCAGAGGAGCUAUAUGUGAGUGGCUAUAAGGUGCCCUUGGCUGCUGUUGCUAGUGUGGGUGUUCCAUAACAAAAAGCCGCAAUAAAACUUUAUCAAUAAUAUGGUUUAACUGGUUUAUAAGUUCAAUGGGUGCAGCAAGUGGUGUUGCUGAGGUAUGGUGGUUGGUAAGCCGGGUGACUUCGGGGCUACCUCAGGUUUUGGCUGCUGAUUUGGUUGCUGUCACGGCUCGUCUGUGGACAAAUGGGACCACUGUUGCGGAGUUCCAGGUGGAGCCGUGAGCCGGCGUAGUGCUGGUCUCCCAUGGGGAGAUGAGAGACUGAGAGGAUUCCCAGUGUCGGUAGCAGUUCAUUUGCCUCUUGUAAGUCCCGGAUGGUAUAGGCCGCAUUCCUGUGGUUGAUUAGUAGUGUGCGCGAACCUCUCCAAUGGUAGAUGAUUUUAUGCUGGCGUAGGAGUGUGCGUCGCCAUGCCAGAGUGGAUCCCGACAGAUCUGCGUAGAAAGACAGCUGCAUGUUUUCGAACGGAUACUGUGAGUGGUUUCGUGUGGUCUACAUUACCGCCCUCUUGUCCCCGUGGUUUUGAAAACGAACCAGAAGGUCCCGUGGGGCCGUUGUUGGGGCCUUAGCUGCUCAUGGCAAGCGAAACAUGUUUUCUAUGGGCACCUGUCUUGCUUGCUUGGGAGGUAAGAGCGUCUGUAUUAGUCUCCGCAUUGUGUGAGGGAGCUCAGUCUUCGUUAUCGCCUCUCUAUUAUACCUCGGAUUUUAAUGUUCCAGCUGUGAAUCUGAUCCUCUAGUGUUGCAAUGCGCUGCUCGUAGGUAAGGUUCUGUAGUCGUUGUAGGUGGCCAUGUUUGGGCCUUGGGCGCUGAGCGCUUGCUUCCAUAUGUCGCCUAUACUUUGGUGUUGCCGCGGGUUGUCGGGCUUUGGCUUUUUAGUUUUGCGACCCAUAUCGUUAAUGGCAGUCCGCGGGUCAGUUUAGUGACGGUUUCGUUGAGGUGGGUUCUUGUUAGCAGGCCCAAAGUGCUCGUUCGCUGCGGAGCUCACUUGGUGUGCGGCCAUUCAGGUCGGUUGCUUGGCUCCUCCCACCUUGUCAUUUAUUUUAAACAUGUUUAAUUAAUUUUUUUUUAUACUUCCCACCAGCAGGGGGGCUGUCUGACAUUUCCUGGGGGCCUGAUUUGCCAGGGGAGGGCUGCCUGGGCUCCGAGCUCCUGGGGCUACAAGCCGUUACGGCAAUGGCUUUAAAGCCCAUCUAAUGCGGGAAGGCAUAGAACGCCGUAACAGCGUUAAGGGGUUAAAGUCUCCUUUCAAGUGUUUUAUUUUCUUUUUUUGGAGACAUAACCUUGCUGCAAUACUAGUUUUACUUUGUUACGCCUCUUAGAAAAUUGACUCUGCUGUGUUAGGUAACUUUGAUUCAAGAAAAAACAGAUUGCCUUAUAGGUCAAGAAGAGAUUUUUUUUUUUAUCCCUAUGAGGCAAAAUCAGAAACUAUCCUUGUUUUUUUUUUUGGUUUUUUUUUUCCUCUGGAGAAACCGUUAAAGGGAAUUGUAAAUGUUGAACUUGAUGGACUUGCAUUCUUUGUUUCUCUAAUCUAAUUAACAAUAACAAUGUAACUAUGUAAGUGAGAUUUUCAGACUUUUAGUUCAAUCUAUCAAAAAAUGUUCAAUUAAUCCAUCUAGCUAACGAUCUAUCUAGUGAGAAUAAGUCAUUAGAAUUAUGGGAAUCCUAAAUAGAUCAAUAAUAAUUACUGUUAAGUCAUUAAAUCAUCUUUAGAUAAAUCUAUAGGAAAUAAGAAUCUUCACAAGAUGUCUUCAUCAUCCUCAGUUGGCAAAAGCCUUUACCAUUUUACAGGCACUAUAGGUAAACUCUAUCAAUUUCAGUGGUUGCCUUGAGUAAAAAAAUUAGAUGCUUUAUUAAUUCAGGACCAUAAUCACUGCAACAAUCAUAUCUGGGUCCCUAGGGCACCUCCAAUUGGUUCCCCUUUUCAGAUAUUGCUAAAGCGAACUUCCCCUUCUGAUGUUGCAAUUAAGCUUAGAAUACCAGUUACAUUCACAUUGUCACUUAUUCAUCUGCACAUAAAAAUGUGAUUAAUGGCAUUUACUGUUCUGAGAGGAAAAGUUUUGCCGAGCAGCAAUCAAUCCACAGGAGGGUUUGUGCUGAGCAGCAAUUAUGCAAAUAGUAACUUGGUAACUGCCUUUGGGGUCAAAGGCAGAUUACAACCAAUCAGAUCCACAGGCGGGGUAUUUAGGCCCAGUUUUCCUCUUGCUCAGUGCCUUGUCGUGGUUUCCCUUGUGGUUAUCCGAGAGCGCGUUAUUGAUUCUGGUAAUUCUGGUUAUUUGACUUUGGCAUUGAUUUUGACUUCCCUGUUUUCUGGCAUCGCUGACCCCUGGCUUUUCCUUAUCGUUGUGUCUCUUUCUGUGUCCCUUGACCUCGGCUAUUCCUGACUAUUCUUGGUACGUUAGUCCGGCCAUUCUAAGGUUUGGUAUACGUUACCUAUCAGUCCUGUGUUACACAAUUCUACGUGCUGGAUCAUACUGUAAUCCUGACACACAUACUGUAUAUUGGACUGGAAAACGUACACUGAUCAGCCAGAGCAUUAAAAGCCAUUACAUGUGAGGUGAAUAACAUUGAUUAUAUCGAUAUAAUGGCACCUGUUAAGGGGUGGGAUACAUAAAUCAGCAAGUUAUCAGUCACUUGAAUUUCAUGUGUUAGAGAUGGGAAAAAUGAGCAAGUGAAAAUAUCUGAGUGACUUUGGCAAGGGCCGAAUCGUGAUGGCUAUGUGGGUCAGAGCAUCUCCAAAACGACAAGUCUUGUGGGGUGUUCCCGGUAUGCAGUGGUUAGUAUCUACCAAAAGCGUUGCAAGGAAGGCCAACCAGUGAACUAGUGUCAGGGUCAAAGGCACGCACGGGUCAUUGAUGCAAACCAAAAAAAACCUUAAUGCUGGCUAUGAAAGAAAGGUUUCAGAACACAAAGUGCAUAACAGUUUGCUGAGUAUGGGGCUGCGUAGCUGCACACCAGUCAGAGUGCCCAUGAUGACCCCAGUCUACUAUCGAAAGUGCCUUCAAUAUGUACUGGACCAUGGAGCAAUGGAAGAAGGGUGCCUGGUCUGAUGAAUUACAUUUCCUUUCAGAUCAGGUGUAUGGCUAAGUGCACGUGCAUCGUUUGCCUGUGGAGGAAAUGGCAGUAGGAUGCACUAUGGGAAGAAGAGAGGCCGGCAAAGGCAAUGUUAUGCUCUGGGCAAUGUUCUAUUGAGAAACCUUGGGUCCUGGAAUUCAUGUGGAUGUUACUUUUACACUUACCACCUACCUAGAGAUUGUUGCAGAACAUGUGCACCCCUUCAUGGCAAUGUUGUUUCCUGAUAGCAGUGGCCUCUUUCAGCAGGAUAAUGCUCCUUCCCAUGUUGCAACAUGACAAAAGAACAUGACAAAGUGUUCAAACAUGUUUUGGCCUCCAAAUUCCCCAGAUUUAUAUCCAAAUGAGCCUGUGUUUGAUGUGCUGGAACAACAAAUAUAAUCCAUGGAGGCCCCACCUUGUAACUUGCAGGACUUAAAGCAUCUGCUGCUAAAGUCUUGGUGCUAGAUACAACCAGACACAUUCAGAGGGCUUGUGGAGUCCAUGCCUCGACGCAUCAGAGCGGUUUUGGCAGCACAAGGGAGACCUAUGCGAUAUUUAGCAGGUGGUCUUAAUGUUGUGGCUGAUCGUUGUAGUUCAGUGGUCAGUAAACCCAUUAAAAUUAGAACAAAACCGGAGAUAGUUUUUUCACACAUUUGUCUAAAUACAUGUAGAUUAAAUAGUGGCAAUGCUAACACCUUGGGUGGGCACGGAUUAUUUAAUAUUCACAUUUUACAUCAUGUCCCCAUCAGUUAUACUAAUGAACGCCUGUAGUCUUUAAUCAGUGCAGAGUUAGAGAGAGUUGACAUGUACCUUGUAACAUAUUGUAAACAAAAAUAGCUGAGUAGAAAAAAAAUCUGCAACAUUUAUUUUCUUUGAGAUGAUUUCUAGAAAUAAUCGUUAUCACCUGAUCAUCUUCCUGCUUUACUACAUCCUAGAAGGGGAAGUGUCAUGCUUACAUUGUAUGUGUGACGUGGCAGUGAGAUGUACUGUCUACAUGCUUUUUGUAUCUAUCUCAUAUUAAAUUUUACUUCCUUGAUUGGGAGCUUCUUUAAAACGUUAGUCUAAGCACCAUAGCAACUACAUGCCAAUGCAAACCACCUCUUCCAGCUGAACUUCCACAUUAGCAAUAUCGAUAUCAUCAAUAUUUUCGCAUCAUUCUUUGGCAGAGCAGGUCAGCUGAUGAGUACAGCCAUUGAAUGGCAUCAAAAUAUGAAUGCAACAGAUAUUUCUAAUGAGUAAGUGGAAUUUAGGAAAUAGCAAUAAUUUUGGCAAGAGGGAGCAAGGCCAUAGGUACCUGCGUUUGGUCAGACAACGGAUUGAUCCCGCAGCUUAAUAGCACCAUAACUGCAACAUUGGCAUUCAUCCUUUGUUUGUCAUGCCUGUUAACUGUAUUUUUUGUUUGUCGAUUACUUGGUGCUAAACAUUACCAUAUGUAUGUAUAACAGUAAAGAGCUGCCAGAUAUAUGUUGACAAUGUAUAAAUUCUGAUAAUAAUAAUCCUGUAUUUUCAUGCAAAAUAUGGCACAGACCUCAUGGAAUGUGUGUUUAAUGGGACAUUCUAGGCUCUAUAUCUACUUUAUCUUAUUGAAGUGUUUAUGGAACUUGGAGUUUCAUUUUUGAAGUUUAAUAAUGAAUGAGGGUCCCCGGGUGCCAGCAGCACUUCUGGGCUGCCCAGGCUAGUGGUAUCGCAUUACCUCCUAGAGUGAUGGUAGCAGUGAUAGGCUAUGGUCAAUGGCAUGAGUUGGCAUGGUUAAGGUGGAGUGUAAUCUUCGCCUUAGACAUAUGUCUAGUGGGCACCAGGUUACGUGUGUCUGGGAACCCUCAUUCAGUGUAAAACUGUUUGAAGACAGUUUAAUACUGUACUCGGGGCAUCAUUACCACUGCAACGAGAUGAAGUGGCUAUAGGGCCCACAGUGUAGCUUUAAUGACUUGUUUGUUCUUUGUCUUUCUCUUCCACCUUGAUAAAAAUGAGAGCCAGAUAACUGCUCUCAUUCCACAGAAUGGGUUAAAUAGGUUUCAAUAAGAGGAGUCUUUAGUAUACUCACAAUGUAUCAUGAAAAAUAGGUAGCUAAUGAAACAACUGUUACAGAAAUACAGUCAGAUAAUCAACAGAUAAAAAAACAUCUGAGAGUAAACAACAUACAACAAACAUUAAAAGUCAAAGGCAAUGUCUGAUUUUUUGAGAAGAGAUGUUAGCAUUACUACCAUAAAGCCCCUUCUGCAUAAGACUAUGACCAUGCCCAUAGAUUUUGUAAUGCUUUCUAAAAUGAGAAGACUGGACCAUUUUUCUCCAAUCUAGAGUGGCUUCUCUUGUCUUUAAGCAUAACAAAACCAGAACCAGGCAUUAAUUGGACAAAUUCCCAGGCAGAUUUAUUGAAGCAUAGGUGCCAUGUUUUGGCUUUACAUGGAGCCUCAUGGACCUCCUGGGUUCUGGUGGAUCUCAGCUUUCGCCGAAGCAUCACUGCAUCGAACAGGUCCCAAAGUAUAUUAAACUAAUACUUGUAUAGUCCAACAAGAAUAAGGAAUGUCCAGAGAUCUCCAAUCUUCUGGCUACCUAGUAUAAAUUAAGCUGAUCCCACACACAUGGGGAUAAUAAGUAUAAUAAAAUUCUAUAACCAAAACAAUACACCAGGCACCCCAAAAUCAUGGAUCCUAGAACCACUUUUUUUUUAGUUUUGUUAAACUAUCAAGCUAACCAUUCUUAAACAGAAAAGGAUUACAGGGGUUGUAAUUUAAAAGAUGAUCAGUAUUUUCUCCUCUAGUGCUUAAUAGUAACAUAUGUUAUACUAUACCCCCGACCCAUUCAAAAAUACUUCACAUUACUAUAUAGAAUUUAAAUUCUGCAAGAUGGAAAUCAAUCCAUUGAUCAAUGAAAAAUCAGGCAGCAUAACAAUUCUAACUACUCUAGGUUAGCAAUUUUCAUAUGUUGCCCAUCAACACAAAGAUGUGAUACAUGUCCUGGAAAACUUGGCAAAUCUGACGACCACUGUUACACAGUAUUUCAAAACAAAUGUAAUUACAUUAAAUACAAACAGAUAAGAGCAAAACUUAUACAAUUAAAAUUCAGAUUUAUUCUGGAAAUCUUACAAAAAAAUUAUGUUUUUCAGUAAAUUAAGUAAGGUGAAGUCAAUCAUCAUAUUAAUAUCUUUUAAAAUAGGAUACUCAAUAAUUUAACUCUUUUUUUGUGGCCAUCAAGCCCAAUAAUCAGAAUUUCUCAUUAAACAUUGAAUUGUAGAGAACUGAGAAUUGUAAAUUGUUGGCCGAAAUAGUCAAUUGGGGGGGGGGGAAAUAAAAUACAGGUAUAUUUUUAGUUUAUUUGGUGUUGCCUGCAAUUUGCCAAUACCCAUGCGAUUUAGUGAAAAAAAUCAUAAUGUACAGGAAACUAUUGCAAAGGAAUGCACGGCAAGUCUGGCACUGAAGAGGUUACUUUUGCUCGUUGAAGGAGCUUAGAGGAAAUUGUAAGUCAUUUUGAUUCAGAAUAAGUCCCCCUCCUGCUCUCUUACCCGUUAUUUCAUGCGCCAAUUCCUAUGCAGAGCUGUGAUUUAUGGCAAACCACUGACCUCUGAAAAGGAGAGACUGGGAUGGGUGACUGGUUUUGAAUGGUGACACUGGCAGUUGACAAAAUGCCCCAAGCAAAAUGAAUUUACUCCCAGUUUCCUCAAUCAUCAACAGACAACCACCCACCCUGGCCCCCCUUCUGUCUCCCUCCCUCUCUGAGCUGACCCCCCAACUGAAUUCUCCUUAACAAGAUCUGCCUGCCAGCCUGGGAGAAAUUUACUGUCACUGCUAGUGUGUCCUGCGCAGAGUCCUGACAUCCCUGCUCAAUCACAUUAUGAAAGAAUGUCUCUUGACACAGUCCACUCUGCUAAAAGCCACCACAACAACUAUAUCUGGCCAACUGUGUUUGAAUGUCAGCACCCCAGCUGUUUACAGACACAACAUCCACACCACUGCUCAUGUACACAAUCACACUAUGUGCGUUUACAGCAGCACAAGCAGGCCACCCUUACUGAUCCAGGGCUAAGUACCCUGUGCCAAUGUAGCUUCUGUGGACUACAAUUCCCAUGAUACUUAGCCACACAAUUAUUGAAGAACAUUUUUUUCUCUGUAUUGAAAAUUCAAGGAUCAAGGCAGUCAUUUUGUCUUAAUUGGCAUUUUCUUAUAUGUUAGUAAUAGGGAGUUAAAAGGCAGUGAAUUGUGGUAAGUUGACAAUUGAAUCUAAGUCAAAACAUCCUAAUUGCAACGUGUCCCAAUUCUAGCUGAAUUGGAGUUUUUUUUAUUUCCAGCUCAGGUAUUUGGGAGUUAAUUAAGCAAGUAUGUUUUCAAUCUUAACAUUCAUAGAUAAUCAAUAUUGUGUGAAUUGUGAGGAAUUCUAAGUGAAUUCACAGUAAAUUUCUGAAAUUGUUUAAUGUUUUCAUUUUAGCUGUUAUGGCCUAAAAAUUUUAAUUUAACUUUCUGAUAAUUCACAGUUUAGAGUGUAACUCUUCCAGUGUAAUGAAUAAAUCCCCUUUAGGAAUUAGUUUACCCAUCUAUUUUGCAUUAUAGCUCUGUUACACAAUUUUGAUGAUAUUUAGGGUAAAAUUUUCAAGUGAACAUUUACUCCAGUUUUUCACAACAGUGUCCUAUACAGAUAAAUACGUAUGUUUUGUAUGUAUUAUUAGCACCCAAGUAGGAGUCAUGGUGAAUAGCACUGUAAGACUUCAACGUGCAUUAGAUGUUGGGGGGAAAAAAGUGUUUAUCUUCAGCAAAAAACUUUUAAAAGUUCUUUUAAACACUUUCAUCUUCCCCCAAAGGAACACUAUAGUCACCUAGAAGUCUCAAUGAAGAGGCCUGGGUGCAAUGCCCCUGUCCCCUUAAUAAUUCAAUCCUGUUUAAAACAUCGCAGUUUUUGGAAAAAGUAAUACUUGAUCACGUGACGCAGAGGCCCCAUUGGAAAGCAUUGACUCGAUGCUUUGUUGUAGAAAAUUGUGGAUGUGCAUGCAACAUUCACUGUACAUGCACAUUAGGUCCCCAAUGCUUCUCUAUAAAUUCCAUCAUCACUCCAGGCAUGGCCUCCUCUGUGGAGUAGCAGGGGGAGGUGAGCUCCCUCCGUACUAGAACAAGGGAAAUAAAUCUUAAUUUGAUUACAUUUUUAUUGGAACCUGGACAGACUAUGAAAGGACUAGUGACAAGUUUACAAUAGUGUUAGGAUUCCUAAUGCUAUAGUGCUUCUUUAAGGUAGACUUCCAGCAUUCACAACCCUCAUAUUCUGCACAUUCCAGUUUGUCUGCUUAUUCUAAUUCUUGCAUAUUCCAUGCUACAUUGUAUCAGUGGAUUCAUGGUCCAUGACUUGUAAAUAUAAUAUGCCUGAUGUGAAUGUGUGGUUAAGGAUGAUGACUGACAAAAAUCAUUCUUCAAAGACCCUUAAGAACUCAUAUUCAAAAAGUGCAACUUACAUACAGAUUGUAUUAAAAAAAAAAAAUGUAUAUUAACUGUCAAACAUUUGUCUUUUCAAUAUUUUGUUAGUAUAAUAAAGGCAUAUAUUUGACAUCUUAUCGACUGGACUAAUUGGACUAAUACAGUUAAUCAACUUACACACACACACACACACACACACAUAUAUAUAUAUAUAUUCCCUACUCCCACUUAUCUGACACUUUCAAUUUUCAAUCCCUAUGGUCUACCUGCUUCACAGCUCCCGGUUAUCGUCUUUUACAAUCUGUCCCAAGAGGGUAAGGAGUUAUUAUCCUUGUCUUCAGAAGAGAAAAGGGAUGUUAUAGACUGUCACUGAUAGAGCCAAGAUCCCACUGCUGAUCUAUAGCCUUGGAGUACAGGGCGCCAUGCACUCUGCUAGCCCUGUAUAUAUCCUAUGAAGGACAGUUACAGGAGCCAGGGCAAUCCAAGCAAAGUGUUCACUUAAUAAUCAAUUUGCAUUGCUCCCUGUGUGAGGGUUUGCCAGCUAUAAUAUAAUUAAGUUACAAUAUAACCCAUAAUGAGGUUAUCCAAGCUUUUGUAUUUACCUAUAGCUGUGCUUGUGUACUUGGCUCACGCAAGAAGCUGAUGUAAAUUAGGCAUAUAAUGAACAUAAGUCAUUUAUUAUAGAUGUAAAAUAGAUGUCGUUUUAAUCAUGUAGAAUAUGCAGUCCAACCAUACUGCGAUUUAAUCAUGGAACAGAGAGUUUUGUAGGGAACUAAAAAUCUAACGUCAUAAUUGGAUAUUGUUGCUUAAUGUUUUCUCGUUAAUUUGCCACAAUUUUCAAUUGACUCAAUAAGCCCUAUUGAGCUCUCUGCCACCCCCGCCCCAUUUUAAAUCUUAUAUUUCUAAAGCCAACAGUUAUAGAAAAGGUAUCUUAAUGGCUAAAUUAGGAUCAAAGUAUUUAUGUGUUUUUUCUUUUAUAGGGUCCUACUGGGCUUUUGCCCAACGAGGUCAGUACUUUAACAAACACUGAUCAAAGCACUUGGGAGAAUGAUACACUUAAUGAAAAAGUGAAAACAGAUUGAUCUCUUAAAGGAAAAUCAGACAGCAAACUAUUCAAUCACUUAAUACACACCUAUCAACAGCAAGCUGUCUUACUCUAUCAUGGAAGGUCAUUAAAAAACACUGAGACUUUAAAGCUGUCUUUCACAGCAAUAUGUAUUGGCACAGAGUGUGCUGUGGUAUAUACAGCAAAGAAAAUGUUAUUUCGAUAAAUCAUGAGCAGCAGCCCUUGCAGGAAAAGGAUCGUCCAACUUGGCUCAAGGAGUGAGCAGUGUCCCAUUAUUAAUUAUACCCAAAAUUGGUCACAGUCUGCCACAAUACAUUAGCAAUGUUCUCUCUUUAAACAAUACAAUAAAAAAGAGAUGUAUCAACUGCAGAUGUUACAGGUAAAUCAAUAAAUGAAGAAAAAUGCACUGAUCUUGUGUAUCUGUGCCCAGAGGGGACUAUUGCUUGCUCCUGGCUCAAACCAACUGGAUUCCUGAACCCAACUCUUUCUCUUUCUUUCUGAACACCAUAGCCGUUUUGUGAUACCCUACUAUUUUUGGUGAGUCUUGGAACUAGUGGUUAUUAGAUAGCGGAGACUUAUUUGAUUCAACCACAUCAUCAGUCAUUAAUGAUUACCAUAAGGUCCGGAAUGGAGAGCUAGGGAUUCCAAUCGGCCAUUUCUCUUCCUCUUUAUUCUUAUAAUUAUUUUCUUAAUUAUUUUCCCUAGAUUGUUUGUCUCUCUGCCGCAUGGAGGUUCUCUACCAGAUGGGCUUGCAUUGUUUCUUUUGUUGGUGCACAUUUUGACAUAUUAAUCUAUUUGGAAUCCUUGCAUGGCUACACUUUAUUUAUAGUGUUUUGCAUUGUCAUGUGCAAUAUUUCAAGAACCCUGUAUAGUAUUCUUCCUUUUCGUUAUCUCAGAACUUAUUGUUGGAAUUGAGGGAUAGUAGGGUUUUUGGGUUCCAUUCUGGGUUAAGUUUUCUUCCCUCUUCACCCUGUUCACUGUCCCUGAGAUCAAUACUUUUAUUCAGCUCUAACUUAUUGUUCCAAUGUCAAGACUCUUCACAUCAAGAUUUAUUGACUGCUGCCACAAGGAGGGAUUACAUGCAACAGGAUAGCCACAAGAUGACUAUGGGUGGAAUAGGCUUCUUAUUGGCAGACUGCAAGUUUGGAAAUUAUUCACGUAUCAUUAUUGUAGGUUUUAUUGCUAUUGUAAAACUUCCCACAAACAGUUAUUAGCUUGAGCUGCCGUUAGGUAAUAUAUAAAUAUAUCCCAUUAUCUUUUUGUUUUUACCAGUGUGCCAUUAUUACUGUCUGUAUAGGAGUUUGUAUUCACAGUCUCAGUGUGCUAAGUGUUCAACACAAAUGUUUGUGUUCCUUCCAUUCUUCCUUCCUUCCAUUCCUUCCUUGUCUCCUUUCUUCCAACCUUCCAUUCCUUCCUUCCUCCCAUCCUUCCUUCCUUUCUUCCUUCUUCCUAUCCUUCCAUACUUUCUUUCUUCCUCCCUUUCUUCCUUCCUGCCUUCUCUCCUUCCUUCCAAACUUCCGUUCCUUCCUCCCAUCAUUCCUUCCUUCCAUCCAUCUGUUCCUCCCUUUCUUUGUUCCUUCCAUUCUUCCUUCCUUCAAUAAUUCAUUCCUUCCCCUCUCUCUUUUCUUUAUUUCUUUCUUUCUUUCUUUCUUUCUUUCUUUUUUGCACUCAGAGUUGAGCUUAUAGAAUACUACACAUUUAUAUACUUGGAUUUCAGCUUUCGACAACUUUAGUCAAGGGCUGAUUCUGAUCAGUCUCAUCACCUUUAUUCGAGAACUCUGGGAGUUGGAGUACAGCAGCACACUAGAAGUCACAGUAGCCCAGUCUUGUUAUAAAGAGAUGUUGCACUGAGGUUAUCCGAAGGCUUAUGCCCUGCUCAGCAUGUUAACAAAUAUCUGCACCACAAGCACGAUACUGUAACCUCUAUGGCCCAGUUAUAAAAGAUGAAUGUCAGCACCUCUGGGAUUCAUUCAGAUAGCUGUAGUUUUUUUUAUUUAUUUUUUAAUUGUCAUUCUUUUUUUCUUGUUAACUAAGUGAUUCUUCAACAAUGUUCUAUUAAUUAGUGCAGAUCAUUAACAUCUUCUUUCCUGGAGUAAUUUGUUAUACCUAAUAGGGAAACAAGAGUUCUUACCGUGAAACACAAUACAUUGUUUUAUAAAACAAAUACUGCCUUACAAUGUUUAAAAUGUGGUUGAAAGUAAUUAAAUAUGUUUCUAAUACUUUGCAACAUAUGAUAAAAUCUGUAGCAGCCUUCAAAUGGGCAAGAAUGCAUUAUGAUAGAUUGAGGCUGUUUUAAAUGAGUGGGCGUCCAUUUCUGUAUUGCGAGAAAAAGGUAUAUCAAACAUCGAGUUAACUGACAGCCUGACCUAAGCCCCCUAUAACCUUUUUUACUCCUUAAUGUCACCUGCAUCUCACGUUCAGGCUAUACUUCACACUCUUCCAUACACUGAAGCUGCAUGAUUUCCUGGGAUUAUUUCAGAUGGAUGACGCUACCCUUUAAACAUAACGUCCCUAAUGUGCUGCAUUCUGUGAGCAUCCGCACCAUGAUGGCCUAUGUGCGUCAAUAAUAUCAUGAUGCACACAUUCUUGGUGUCCAAGAAUGAAAUUGGCCAAUGGCAGACUGUAUACUGAUCAGCCACAACAUUUAAACCAUUGUCAGGUGAAGUGAAUAACAUCGAUUAUAUUGUUACAAUGGCACUUGUCAAGGGGUGGGACAUAUUAGGCAGCAAGUGAACAAUCAGUUCAUAAAUGUUUUGUGUUUGAUGCAGGAAAAAUGAGCAUGUGAAAAGAUCUGAGUGUCUUUGAUAAGGGCCAAAUAGUGAUGGCUAGACCACUGAAUCAGAUCAUCUCCAAAAUGGCAAGUAUUGUGGGACUUUCCCAGUAAGCAGUGGAUAGUACCUACCAAAAGUGGUGCAAAGUAGGGCAACUGGUGAACAGGGUCAUAGUUGCCCAAGGCUCAUUGAUGAAUGUGGGAAGAGAACACUAGCCUGUCUUGUCUGAUCACACAUUGUAGCUCAGAUUGCUAAAAACAUAAUGCUGGUCAUGACAGAGAGCUGCCAGAACACACAGUGCAUCGCAGUUGGCUGCGUAUGGGGCAACAUAGCCACAGACCAGUCAGAGUACCAUGAUAACCUCUGUCAAUGGAGACAUGAUCACCAGAACUGGACCAUGGAGCAAUGGAAAUUUACCUAUUCUGAUGUUCUGCUGGGAAACCUUGGAUCCUGGGAUUCCUAUGGAUGUUACUUUGACAUGUACCACUUAACUAGAGAUUGUUGCAGAGCACAUACACCCCUUCAUAUCAAUGGUGUUUCCUGAUGGCAGUGGCCUCUUUCAGUAGGAUAAUGCACCUUUCAGCUGCAGGGUUGAAAUAGGGGUGACGUUUAGAAUGAAAUAGGAAGUAUCAGAACUUAGACCAGAGCUGUAACCCAAAUGGGUAAAACCAAGCCGAGAGGGUAAGCCAAAUCAUAAACCAAAACACAAGCUUGCAUAGAGUGUUGCCGUGGGUUACCACAGCAAUGUUGCGAUGCUGCACUAUGCCGGGGCUACUUACAAGAGCUUGCAAUAAAGCUGAAAAAAACAAUAAUGAUAAAAAUUAUGAAACUGCUCCUCCCACUACCACAGAUCACAGCCACGACCAGACCUUACAAAUCCAAACACAUAUACGCAAUACACACACUAAACACAUACUGCAUUUAUUAUACACACAAUUCCUCCCUUACACACACACUGCAUCCCCUAUACACACACACACACUGCAUCCACUAAUUACACACACACUGCAUCCCCUACACACACACACACACUGCACCCCCUAUACAUGCACACACACACACACACACACACACACUGCAGCCCCUAUACACACAGACACACACACACACUGCAUCCACUAGCUACACACACACUGCAUCCCCUACACACACACACACACACACUGCAUCCCCUAUACACACACACAUAUCCAUUUGAUGUUCUUAGCCAGAGAUGCCUGGUGACCACACAGAGCCCAGCGCGCAGGGGAAAGUAAGGGAAUUUUAAGAGUUUUUUUUACAAUAUCUGGGGAAGGCAGAAUAUAGAAAUAGGCAGGAUAACACUAUAACAUUAGCAAUACAUAUUUGUAUUCCUAACACUAUAGUGUUCCUUUAAGGCCUAAAUAGCUAAACUAACAGAAAUGACUUGAAGAGAGGAACUUUGCAAGGUUCCAGAAACAUUGGGGCCUGAGUUCAAAAGAAAACUUGCUGACUCCUGCACUAACAGAGAGGUUGGGAUAUGCCAUUAUUUGUUCUUACUUUUCUAUAUUAUGUGUCCACCUCUCAACCCAUAAACGGUAUUCUGACGAUGCUCUCUGGGAUCUCAAUGAAUGUAUAGCUGGAAACAGGCACAUGCUGCACAGCUAAAGAUGCAAUGUGAUCCUGCCAUACUACCUAACGAAUACAGGAGUGUGCAACAAUCAAAACUGUUCCCCAGCACCCAUCAGUCACCUGGAGGGCACUCUAUUACUAAUCUUUGGUUUUAUAAUAGCUGCUUUAAAAAAACAGCUGUCUGAUGUAAAGUUAAAAAUGGUGAAAAAUACUUAAAUUCCCCAGCACCCUUCACCAAUUGUAGAGGUCCAUGGCUAUAGAUCCCCACAACUAAGGCUUCAGCCCCCCCCACCCCACUCAAUGCCAAUGCUUGGAGAAUUUUUCUAUUUCCGUUAAGUUAAAUUUUGAGAUUCAGCAGUUCACACUAUAGUAAAUAACCCUCAAUGUGUUCACAUGCUCUAAAGCUGCCGCUAGGAAUGAUCCCUCAAUGAAAGAACAAUUACUAACUUGCAAAACGACAUAUCAAUGUAUUGUGCACCUGAGGUAUUUGUCAGAAAAAGGAUUAGCAUUCAAAUGUUUAAAGCAUGAUUUUGGAUCUGCAUCAUCUCAUGUAAAUCCAGCGGAACUAAUCCCAUGCAAAGAAAAAUAUCUAGCUUCCUUCUUACAUCUUGAUAAGGCGAAUUAACAUGAAAGUCUCGGGACUUGGAAAAAAAUAAUAAUUCAUCAGCCUUAUUAAAUAUUCAUUGCAUUAUCUAUCGAUUGGAAUUUUCCCCCCUGUUGCAUAUGAUUUGUACAGACACUAGGGUUUUCUCAAAGCCUGAUAAUUAUAUAGUCGGUGUUGAUGGGAAGUAUUUUUAUGCAUCAAAAGUGUAAUUUACAGAAUCUACUUAAUAAACAGUUAGCAAGAAUAUAGCAAAUAGCUUCUGGGCCUAUUAAAUGGAUGCUUAGUUACAUAAGUCCCAGAUCACUAAAACACAGCCAAUUAUGGUUUGAUUUAAAAAAAAAAAUACAAAUUAAUUCACAGGCAGCGCAUUAUGAGACACCAUGAUAAAUAACUGUUCAAAUGCGCACAGUCUGUCUAAAUUUACAAACACAGUUGAUAACUCCCUCAAUCCCUCAUUGCAAGUAUUGCAAUUGCAGAAGUCAACUGAAGUGAAAUGGUUUUGUUUUUAUUUUGUAUUAGUGUGGUAUACAUUAUGUGUAAAAACAUUUGAGCUACAAAGUUAAAGUGGCAUCGAAGGGGGCAUAUCCUCUUAGAAUGUGCUGUAGUUGCAACAGUUGCUACUACUGCUGAGCACUGGUGUUACACCUGUCAUGGAUAGACACAGGCCAGGUAAGGGCCCCCUUGCAAAAAAAUUGUCCCUGCGCCACUUGCAAAACUGUUAUAUGGUUGCUCAAGGUUUUAAACGGUUCCUCACAAUAGGUUAGUGUUCAAACUAAAAGAAAUUGGUUUAGAUGAAAAUUCUUUUUUUUGGGUAGAACAUUGGCUUAAGGAUAGAGUACAAAGAGUUGUUAUUAAUGGUACAUUUUUAAGCUGGACAAAAAUAAUAAAUGGUGUCCCUCAGGGUUCUGUUCUGGGAACACUUCUAUGUAACAUAUUUAUAAAUUAACUUGAAAUAGGCAUUGAAAGCCAUGUUUCAAUGUUUGCAGAUAACACAAAAUUAUGUAAAAGAAUACAAUGUAGUCAGAAUAUUACUGAGCUGCAGAGGGAUUUAGAUAGAUUGGGGGACAGGGCACUAAAAUAGCAAAUUAAAUUUAAUGAUGAAGAAUGCGAAGUUAUGCACUUUGGGGUAGAGAAUGCACAAGCAAAUUGCACCCUAAAUAACAGUGAAUUAGAGAUAACAACACACAAAAAGGAUUUUUAUAGACAACAAACUAGGCACCAAUGUGCAAUGUCAGUUAGCAAUUGCUAAGGCCAGUAAGGUAUUAAUAGGGGCAUCAAUUCUCGGGGUGAAAAUAUAAUUUUGCCUCUUUAUAAAUCACUGAUAAGACAACACCUUGAAUAUGCUGUGCAAUUUUGGGCACCUGUUUUAAUGAAGGAUAUUAUGGCACUAGAAAAAGUGCAGAGGUGGGCUACAAAAUUAAGAAAAGGAAUGGAGCAUUUUGGUUAUGAAGAAAGGUUAACAAAUUUAAAACAGUGCCUCAAUUGGGAUAUAAUAACAUUAUACAAAUAUAUUUGGAGCCAAUACAAACCAUUGUCUGGAAAUCUAUUCAUAAACAGGGCUAUACACAUUUAGACUAGAAGAAAGGGGUUUUAGUCUAAGGCAAAAGAAAAACAAUAAGGAUGUGGAAUUCUCUGUCUGAAGAUGUGGUUUUAUUAGAGUCUAUACAGAUUUCUAAACAGCAAUUGGAUAAAUACUUCCAAAAACAUAACAUACAGGGAUAUAAUUUUAAUUAGUUGGGUAAUAGCUUCUUGAUACAUUCUGUCAUUCUGGGGUUAAGAAGGAUUUUUUCCCCCUAGUUUGUUGCAAACUUGGAAGUUUCAAAUAGUUUUUUGUCUUCUUUUGGAUCAACAGUAAAAACAAAUAUGAGAAAGGCUAGACUUGAUAGAUGCACGUCUCUUUUCAGCUAUGUAACUAUGUAAUACGGCACAUAUUAAAUAACUAUUAAAUUAUCACAGGGAGCAUGUGGUCUGCAUGACUGGUGGGACAGACCAUUUUUGCUGGGCACUACCUCACUGUCCAGCAAACAUGGAGCCCGGUAUGCACCAUUAGAUGCAUUUAAAUGUACAUUUCACAUGUUUUGUACCAUGAUAUAUAUAUAUUUGCUGUUCCCUUGUACUCUAACUUGCACAGCUUUGUGAGACUCUCCUUGUUGUAUGUAUUUUUUUCCCCUCUACUACUUGUGGCCAUAUUGUGUACUGUCAUUAAUAAAAUAAUUUUUAAAACGUAUGUAAUAUUUGUUAGACAUUAACUUGUCUGUAAUUCUGUUAUAUUACACAGCACUGAGAAAUCUGCUGACACUUUAUACAGGAUAAAUUAUAAAUAAUACAGAUGAUUUUUUUUAAUUUAAAAUGUGGAGACAGGUGGCAGUGCUAACUGUUUACGAAUCAGCAAUAUAUAAGUGACAUCCACUCCAUUGUUUGCAAAUAUCAGCAUGGUUUUUGCACUUGGCAUUUUUGUUGUUGAGGUUAGCUCAGCAGUCUGGAGAAUUAUAAUCUGCCCCUUUAAAGUCAGCUGGUUGUCUGAUGAAACAGACAGCUAAGGGCACAAGGGAAUUGUAUCUUCUAUGGCUAAAAGGAUAAAAGGCUUUAAGAUUAAGAGAUCAUAGAUCGAGAUUAUCUUGUUACAUGUAAAGUGAAUGUUCCACAGCUGUAAAGAAAGGGUACAGAGGAGGGUCAGAGAGAAGGAAUAUCAGCUCGCUCCACUGGUUAACAUUCCUGUGUAUCCUUGAUUCUAUUGCAGUAGGUAUCACAGAGGCUAUGCUAUGUGUGUUUCCACCUGUGGAAUUAUUAGAAAUCCAACAAAAUCAUUGAUGACACCACCAAUCUCUACUGUCUCUUCAUUCCCAAAGGAAGCCUGAAUAUAACUUUGUUUUACAGCAGAUGCCAAGGUGGAUGUGGAAGCUAAUGCCAUUGCUCUGUGUAAACCUGCCAGCACCUGUCAGUUUGGGUACUAUUUGUCUGUUGCCCUCCAUGACAUGUUUGUAAUGGGCCUUUAUGAUGCCAUGAUACAGAAGUGGUUGCUGACAGUGGAUGGCCUUACUCUUACAAAAGCUACAGAUGUUGCCGCGGCCAUGGAGCUUGCUGCUAAGGAUUCUCAUCUAUUGCAUGCUCAUUAUAAAUCCACAACUGCUAGCAUUAAGGAGGAGGGAGUGUUGCGGACUACUAUUUUCACAACCAGGCCGUUACUCACAGCUCAAUGUGACAGGUACUGUACCUCAUAAACCCUACUGUUUUCGCUGUGGCAGUAUGACUCAUAAAGCUAUAGCCUGGAAAUAUAUAUAUAUUUAUAUAUAUAUAUAUAUAUAUUUGUGGUCAGAAUAUACCAGCCGAUAGAGUAUAAAUAUGAAUUUAUACUUAUGAACUUAAUAUGUACCAAAAGUCGGUUGGAGUGUGCCGGAACCGACGAGAGGUUAGGCCUGUAAUAAAAGAGGGCCCGCCUAGAUUGUAGUUAUGUUUAGAAGAGGGAGCGGUGGGAGGGUCAUUUCCCGAUGUUGCUACAGGUAAGGGGAGGAUUGCGUGGAGUUUUAAUAGGGAUUAAAAGCCCUCCCACAAUUCCAGGUUUCCCACCUUUUAUUUGUGGUCAGAAUAUACCAGCUGCUAGAGUAUAAAUAUGAAUUUAUACUUAUGAACUUAAUAUAUACUAAAAGUCGGUUGGAGUGUGCCAGAACCGACGAGAGGUUAGGCCUGUAAUAAAAGAGGGCAAAACGAUACAAUGCAAAUCAAACUUUAUUAAAACACUUCUCAUGUUAUUACAAAGCAAUCUCAUAGAAAGCCAAUCUAACUUUUUCAGAAGAUUUCCACCGUCCCAUAUUUUUAAUAAUGUGUGCGGGUGUAUUGUGGCUGGAUGCUGCAGUAGCAGCUCCUAUACGAAAUUAGUCCCCCUUAAAAGAUGCCAAAUUGAGCCCAAAUUUCACCAAAAUUGAUCUAGUGUACAACAUGAAUUUUUGGGUUGUAAGGGGUUUGCCAUGUAAUAAAAGUAGAGGUGAAGAGGGAUUAAGUUUACGGAGAGAAUCUUCUAACAUGUCAAAAACCUUAACUGGGCACCACUUAUUCCCUCUAGGGUAGUAUGAUAUCUGGACUGGGUGACCUAUUUGACUAGUUUUUGUAUGUUGCAAGGACAAAAUAUAAUAAUCAUGAAUCUCAAUUAAGUCUGAUAUCUUUAUGCAUAAAUCUAGGUCAGAUAUUUUAGUUACCGUAAAUGCUUUGGGUCUUAAGAAACCAUAAAAAGCCAGAUAACUGGCUGCUUUGAAAACCAAGUUAGUAUCUGGCUUGAAAGGGGCUGAAUCUAUAAUAUCUGAAAUACCAUGGGACUUACUGCUGUCGAUAGGGAGUCUUUUCGGAGGGGUCUCUAAUUUUAGUUUUACUAUGCUUUUCAAUAAGCUUUAAAUAGGAUUUGCGAAUAAAAAAGGCUUGUUGUUAGGAAAAGUGAUUAACAUGUGAUGUUGGAGCGGAUCCUGGUCAGACAACGAUCUGAAUAGAUGCGGAUCCACCUCCCCCCACCAGGGCCGGAUUAAGAGCACAGUGGGCCUGGUGCUGACAAUUAUGAUGGGCCUAAUUACGGAAUCUUAUCGACCAAAAACACUAAAACAAUCAUACCUCAUGUAUCUGAUGGAGAUGGUGCUGGAGGGAAACUCAUAGGAUGCAGCUAUAAGUAAACACAUACUCUAUGCUAAUUUCUCUCUAAUUUAUGCUUUCAUCUUUCAAGUAAAUCCAUACCCCCCCUAACAGCAGUGUCCAGUGAAGCAGGAAGACAAUGGGCGGGGUAAAAGGGUGUGCCACUGGCGCGAAUCACGUGACAAGGCCUGCCAAAAGGGGUGAACAUGCCCAAAAAGGGGCAUGUUUGUCCAAAGAAUUGGAAGGUCAGCCUGGCAUGAAUGCAUGUCAGGCUGCCUGCCAAUCCUGCAGGCUGUCCAACUAAGGGCAUACUAUGCAGGCAGCACUUUGAGCUUGACAUAAAUGCGUCUAAUGAUGCGCUCACUCCAUUCUUUCUAAGGACUGUCCCCUAGCACUCGCUGGUCCACUUGUCUCCUUACCUUCUUACUAGCAGGCAGAAGUUCCUGGUAUAUAGUCUGAGACAGAGAAAAGAUGUCUGUAGUGAGUGUAGAAGAAAGGGGACAUGCCACAGUGUUAGAGAGACCAACGUCUGCAUUACCUAAACUAACUUUAAUGUCAGCCAGUGCACACAAGUUUUGUUCCCAUACAUCCCUCUUAAGCUUCCAAACUUAAAGGGACACUAUAGUCACCAGAACAACUACAGCUUAUUGUAUUUGUUCUGGUAAGUAUAAUCAUUUCAUUCAGGCUUUUUGCAGUAAACACUGUCUUUUCAGAGAAAAUAACUCCACUGGCUGCUCCUUAGAUGGCUGCUAGAGGUGCUUCCUGGGGCAGUACUGCCUAGUGUGCAGCACUUCCAUCCAGUGUCUCCACCCUCUGCAUGCAGACACUGAACUUUCCUCAUAGAGAUGCAUUGAUUCAAUGUAUCUUUAUGAGGAGAUGCUGAUUGGCCAGGGCUAUGUUGGACUUGUGCUGGCUCUGCCCCUGAUCUGCCUAGUUGACAGUCUCAGCCAAUCCUAUGGGGAAGUAUUGUAAUUUGCUCAGACCACCACUUCUGAGCCAGCAGCUGCAGAAUUGAAAACAAGUAAUAUUUUACUAUAUUUAGGGAGGCAAGAAGGGCCCAGGGUGGUGGUUUUAACAUAAUAGGGUCAGAAAUACAUGAUUGUUUUCCUGACCCUCUAGUGCUCCUUUAAGCAAGAGUAUGUGAAGAGUAGUUAAGGUUGCCACCUUUCUUGGAAAAAAAUACCAGCCUUAAAGGACCACUAUAGUGCCAGGAAAACAUACUCGUUUUCCUGGCACUAUAGUGCCCUGAGGGUGCCCCCACCCUCAGGGACCCCCUCCUGCCCGGCUCUGGAAAGGGGAAAGUGGUUAAAACUUACCUUUUUCCAGCGCUGGGCGGAGAGCUCUCCUCCUCCGAUCCUCCUCUUCUCCUCCCAUGCGACUGAAUGCGGGCGCAUUCAGCCGGUCACAUAGGAAAGCAUUCAUAAUGCUUUCCUAUGGACGCUGGUGUGCUCUCACUGUGAAAAUCACAGUGAGAAGCACGCAAGCUCCUCUAGUGGCUGUCAAUGAGACAGCCACUAGAGGAUUAGGGGGAAGGCUUAACCCAUUCAUGAAUAUAGCAGUUUCUCUGAAACUGCUAUGUUUAUGAAAAAAUGGGUUAACCCUAGCUGGACCUGGCACCCAGACCACUUCAUUAAGCUGAAGUGGUCUGGGUGCCUAGAGUGGUCCUGUAAUCAUUUGUAUAAUUAAUUAGUUACGCGUGACAUCACGUGAUGUAAAUCACAAGGAGUGACAUCAGGGAAAAUUCUUUAAAAUCACCAAAUUACUCACAGUUUGAUUCUGCUGUAUAGAUGGAUUGCUCCCAGUGUCUCCCUGUCUCCCAGUGUCUCAGUCUCGCAAGUCACCCAGUGUCUCAGUGUCCCUAUGUAUCACAGUAACAGUGUCCCCAUUUCGCACAGUCCCCUAGUGUCUGUGUCCCCAUGUGUCCCCUAGUGUCUCAGUGUCCCCAUGUGUCCCCUAGUGUCUCAGUGUCCCCUAGUGUCUGUGCCCCCAUGUGUCCCCUAGUGUCUCAGUGUCCCCUAGUGUUUCAGUGUCCCCAUGUGUCCCCUAGUGUCUCAGUGUCCCCAUGUGUCCCUGCUGCCUUUUCCCUAUCCCUCACUUACUUGAGCUGUAGAGAUGCUGUCUGGACUCUCUGUGCUGUGUAGCUGCUCCUCCACGGAUCAGUGAGUAGCAGAGAGAGGCAGGGAUAUUCUGUAACUUCCUAUCCCUGCCUCUCUCCACACACAGUGACACCUACUGGCCAGUGCUGGUAUUGCAGAGUAAUUUCCAUUUAUUCUGAGAAAAUUACCUGCAUUUGUAUUGCCUGUAUUACUGCAAUACUGGCAUGGCAGCCUCAAAUACCAGCUGUGCCAGUAAAAUACCAGUCAGGUGGCAAACCUAAGUGUAGUGAGUGUAAAAAAAAAAAAAAAAAAAAAAUUUUUUUUUUUUUUUUUUUUUUGAAAUGGGCCUAUUCCAUGGGCCUGGGCCUGGAGCUGCAGCUCCAUCAGCCCCUAUGUUAAUCCGGCCCUGCCCCCCACCCCGACAUCACGCCAACACACGCACAUACGCUCCAGGGGGAGGAGGGGGGGGAAUCUCACGAGGAACCGAGCCCCGGCCCACACCCCCGGGAAGGAUGAAAUAGGAGGAAUUACAGCUAGAAGUAUAGGCGAGAUAAAAACCCGAACACGGGGACGCAGAAACUAUAAGGAGUUCCCUGGGGGGGACCGGGGGAGGGGGGUGGGAGGGAGCAAGCAGGACCCACGCACAUCAAGCAACCACCCCAUGGGGGGAGGGAGGGGACCGCCCCCCAGGCCACAACACUAAAUGAGAAGGUCCGAUGAAGCUCUAGAUGUACACCUAGGGGACUACUUACCCCAGUCAGACAUCAUCGAAUACAGACACUGGGAUGACCACUAGCCUCAGUGACAGGUACACCCUAGCUACACCAUUGUGGAAGGACAGGAAGACCCAUUCCGGAAACACUAAACCCAAAUCCCACACAGACACAUCCACCCCGGCUGACCGCCGCCCGACCACGCUUCCCACCACCUUUGGUGUUCACACUUGACACUGCGGUGUACGGACAGAGGACCCCGGGGCUUUGCCACGGAGGAACCACUGGAUACUACCGUAGGCACACAAACUCUCUCUCUUCGGAGAGGGCAACCCUCACCCACAUCUCGAGUAACGCAACACACCCGACACAUCUAACCACAGACAAACACACAAACACCCGCCACCCACCCCCUUGGAACACCUUACAAUCACCAUACACCGGCAGCAGACUACACGGCACACGGGACCAACAAAAACCCUUUAGACCGCAGAGAAGCGGGCACACACACACUUACUAGUCCACACAAACCACCCUCAUCUGUCCACUCGCUCCUCUGCACUCUCCCCCCCCCCCCGGACCGCGCCCACCUGGGAACCCUCACCGCUCUAAUAUAGAGGCCGCGGCGUCGGGCGGAACACAAGACUCCAGAGGAGGCUUCUCGUAUACUGAGAACAGGAGGGAGAGGUGCGGAGACUCGACGACUGGCCAGACAUUCGACCGAGGGACAAGCCCCUACAAGAUGGCAUACCGCCCAGACACGUUGAGAAUCCUCACGCAAAACUGCCGAGGACUGAACCUGCCGGAACGCCGUACCCAUCUCCUAAAGGAACUUUGGAGAGAGAGAACAGCUAUAGCCCUGUUACAAGAAACGCACUUCAGAGAGGGCUCAGCCCCCACUCUCAGAAACAAACACUACCCCACCAGCUACUGCAGCACUCACCCCACAGCUAAGAAGGCAGGAGUCGCAAUCCUGAUAGCAGCCUCAUUACAAUUCAAAGCACAGGACACACUCAUAGAUGAGAACGGCAGAUAUUCAUUCGUCAAGGGGGAGAUAUCAAACCGAAGAUAAACACUAGCCAUGAUCUACGUCCCUAACAACAACCAAUCUCGGUUCCUUAAAGGAACACUACGGAAACUGGCAGACUUCACGGAAGGAACACUGAUACUGGGGGGAGAUCUUAAUGUCACACUCGACCCACAAAUGGACUCCUCCACGGGACACAGCAGCAUCCCACAAAGAGAAAUAAAGCACAUUCACC